UGAGAACUGAAAUGAAAAUAUUGUUUGAACUAUUUUAUCUUUUUUUUUCAGAUUAUAGUAGAAUAUGAAGGAACAUUAUUUUCUGAGUGGAAAGUGUCAGCAAGUUGUUUUUUAAAAAGUAAGAGCUCAGCCAAGACAGAAUUGCGGUGUACUUCUCCUGGCGUUCAUACUGUACAACCAAUUGUUACAGGCCCAGUAAGUUGAUUUUAAUUAUAACUUCUUAAAUCUUGAAUAAUUUUCCCUGUAACAUUUUUCUUUAGGAGGUACCAGAGAUUGAACCUGAGACCUUGAACAUGCAAAGCAGGCACUCAACCACUGAGCUACACCCACUCCACCCU
This 338-nucleotide long non-coding RNA is filed under the name Dasypus novemcinctus (nine-banded armadillo). RNAcentral's name for it is "lncRNA (ENSDNOG00000052968.1)". The record is from RNAcentral. Lineage: Eukaryota; Metazoa; Chordata; Mammalia; Cingulata; Dasypodidae.